GGUUAAGCGACUAAGCGUACACGGUGGAUGCCCUGGCAGUCAGAGGCGAUGAAGGGCGUGCUAAUCUGCGAUAAGCGCCGGUAAGGUGAUAUGAACCGUUAUAACCGGCGAUACCCGAAUGGGGAAACCCAGUGUGAUUCGUCACACUAUCAUUAACUGAAUCCAUAGGUUAAUGAGGCGAACCGGGGGAACUGAAACAUCUAAGUACCCCGAGGAAAAGAAAUCAACCGAGAUUCCCCCAGUAGCGGCGAGCGAACGGGGAGGAGCCCAGAGCCUGAAUCAGCAUGUGUGUUAGUGGAAGCGUCUGGAAAGGCGCGCGAUACAGGGUGACAGCCCCGUACACAAAAGCGCAUGUGCUGUGAGCUCGAUGAGUAGGGCGGGACACGUGGUAUCCUGUCUGAAUAUGGGGGGACCAUCCUCCAAGGCUAAAUACUCCUGACUGACCGAUAGUGAACCAGUACCGUGAGGGAAAGGCGAAAAGAACCCCGGCGAGGGGAGUGAAAAAGAACCUGAAACCGUGUACGUACAAGCAGUGGGAGCACCUUCGGGUGUGACUGCGUACCUUUUGUAUAAUGGGUCAGCGACUUAUAUUCUGUAGCAAGGUUAACCGUAUAGGGGAGCCGGAGGGAAACCGAGUCUUAAUUGGGCGUUAAGUUGCAGGGUAUAGACCCGAAACCCGGUGAUCUAGCCAUGGGCAGGUUGAAGGUUGGGUAACACUAACUGGAGGACCGAACCGACUAAUGUUGAAAAAUUAGCGGAUGACCUGUGGCUGGGGGUGAAAGGCCAAUCAAACCGGGAGAUAGCUGGUUCUCCCCGAAAGCUAUUUAGGUAGCGCCUCGUGAAUUCAUCUCCGGGGGUAGAGCACUGUUUCGGCUAGGGGGCCAUCCCGGCUUACCAACCCGAUGCAAACUGCGAAUACCGGAGAAUGUUAUCACGGGAGACACACGGCGGGUGCUAACGUCCGUCGUGAAGAGGGAAACAACCCAGACCGCCAGCUAAGGUCCCAAAGUCAUGGUUAAGUGGGAAACGAUGUGGGAAGGCCCAGACAGCCAGGAUGUUGGCUUAGAAGCAGCCAUCAUUUAAAGAAAGCGUAAUAGCUCACUGGUCGAGUCGGCCUGCGCGGAAGAUGUAACGGGGCUAAACCAUGCACCGAAGCUGCGGCAGCGACGCUUAUGCGUUGUUGGGUAGGGGAGCGUUCUGUAAGCCUGCGAAGGUGGCCUGUGAGGGUUGCUGGAGGUAUCAGAAGUGCGAAUGCUGACAUAAGUAACGAUAAAGCGGGUGAAAAGCCCGCUCGCCGGAAGACCAAGGGUUCCUGUCCAACGUUAAUCGGGGCAGGGUGAGUCGACCCCUAAGGCGAGGCCGAAAGGCGUAGUCGAUGGGAAACGGGUUAAUAUUCCCGUACUUGGUGUUACUGCGAAGGGGGGACGGAGAAGGCUAUGUUGGCCGGGCGACGGUUGUCCCGGUUUAAGCGUGUAGGUGUGUGUUCCAGGUAAAUCCGGUUCACUUUAACACUGAGGCGUGACGACGAGGCACUACGGUGCUGAAGCAACAAAUGCCCUGCUUCCAGGAAAAGCCUCUAAGCAUCAGGUAACAUCAAAUCGUACCCCAAACCGACACAGGUGGUCAGGUAGAGAAUACCAAGGCGCUUGAGAGAACUCGGGUGAAGGAACUAGGCAAAAUGGUGCCGUAACUUCGGGAGAAGGCACGCUGACACGUAGGUGAAGUGAUUUACUCAUGGAGCUGAAGUCAGUCGAAGAUACCAGCUGGCUGCAACUGUUUAUUAAAAACACAGCACUGUGCAAACACGAAAGUGGACGUAUACGGUGUGACGCCUGCCCGGUGCCGGAAGGUUAAUUGAUGGGGUCAGCGCAAGCGAAGCUCCUGAUCGAAGCCCCGGUAAACGGCGGCCGUAACUAUAACGGUCCUAAGGUAGCGAAAUUCCUUGUCGGGUAAGUUCCGACCUGCACGAAUGGCGUAACGAUGGCCAGGCUGUCUCCACCCGAGACUCAGUGAAAUUGAACUCGCUGUGAAGAUGCAGUGUACCCGCGGCAAGACGGAAAGACCCC
RNAcentral lists this ribosomal RNA (2066 nucleotides) under Burkholderia pseudomallei. RNAcentral describes it as "partial 23S ribosomal RNA". It matches the Rfam family "Bacterial large subunit ribosomal RNA", at positions 1 to 2092 of the family's 2925-position model. Lineage: Bacteria; Pseudomonadati; Pseudomonadota; Betaproteobacteria; Burkholderiales; Burkholderiaceae. The record is from RNAcentral.